This is a non-coding RNA of Malus domestica (apple), 2503 nucleotides long. The record is from RefSeq and is a predicted model, not a curated record. Lineage: Eukaryota; Viridiplantae; Streptophyta; Magnoliopsida; Rosales; Rosaceae.
UUCAAUUGCACUGUACAAAUGAAUAGUAUUUGGACCCGAAUUUCACUUUAUUUACGAGGCUGCCACUGACUCUCUCUGGUGUUGAUGAUCGCGGAAAGGCAGGGGUGCGAUGGUCAUUUUAGUCUGUAGGGUUUCGAACGGGUUGGGUGGGUUAGAGACUUUCAUUUCCUUUCUUUCUAAGCUGCAGUGGGACUCGGUGAGAGCAUGCCGUCGGGAGAGAGAGCGAGCGAGCAGAGAGAGAAGAGAGACAGGGAGGGAGAGGGAGACAGCGCGAAAGGGAGAGUGGGAGGAGUAAGGAUCGCUUGCUGAGGGUUUCGCAAUUGGGAGGCCAUGCUGAUGGAGAUAGAGAUAGAGAUAGGAGAGGGAGAGAGGGAGACAGAGGCAGAGCGACAGAGAGAGAAGGAAAGGGAAGAGUGGGGAUCUCAGCGCCAUUGCUGCAGAUCCUUGAUCUUCUUCGAUCCCAUCUUCGUGUUCUUCUCAGCCUCUCACAGUCGCAACAUCGCUCGCCCACUCACUCACUCACUCACUACAGAAAUUCUGAGAUGGUAAAGGUUACGGAAAAAUUGGAAGGUAUAUAGAAAUUCCAGUGUGAGUUCUCCGGCCGAUUUGAGGACAUACUGGCGCACCAACGCUUCCAUUUUCCGGCAAAACAUCACCACAGAACCACUACCACUCACUCCGUUCUGCUCAGGACACACAAGCGAAGGCCUUUCACUGUGCAGUGGCUCCUGCCACUGUUCAUCGGCUUCUCUUACGAGACUCACCGCUCCCGACCUCGAGAGAGAAGGUGGCAGCAGCAGCAGUGGGAAAGAAGAACGUCUUUUCCUGCCUCUGUGAUUGUCUCUGCCCUUCGAAUCUCUAGGGUUUGGCUUUGGUUUGGCUUUGGCUCCGUUAGCUCUUGAGAGGGGAGCGUUUACAUGUGGAGGCAACAAGGAGGGGUGGCUUUGAGAAGAUAGUUGCAGAGAAGAAAUGGAGGGAAGUGGGAGGUGUUUUCAUGUUCUCCCCAACACAACAAGUGCUUCGUUUGUGCUGAGGAAACACCAUUCAACCCUUCUCUGCCAUUACGAGCAGGCUGAUGCUGAUGGCAACUGAACCAUAGACUAUGAUGAGUUCAUCGCAGCAACAAUGCACUUGAACUGGAUGGAUAGAGAACAUCUCUACACUACCUUCCAACACUUCGAUAAAGACAGCAGCAGGUAUAUCACGAUGGGAGAACUAAAGUCAAGAAAUACGGCAUGCAUGGUGAAUUUUAAUCUUUCCAGGGGUUUCGCUACCAGAGGUUACACAGCUAUGCAGAGGGUUACAUAGUGGAACUUGGAUGUUAUAGCUCACAGCAAGCAGGGUGUUAGUUUUUUAAAAUGAAGUAAAUCUCCAUGUUUGAAAUCUCAGACUGGCCCUUUGACUUUUGAGCUGGGGAAUUACAAUCAAAUGAUGAAUCUUCAGUUUACUUGGGAAAAGCAGUGGAUUCUCAAGAGGGGCUUCAAUGUACAGAAGAAUUACAAGACGUCAUCAACAUGGAAGAUGGCUAGCUAGGAUUGGAAAGGUUGCUGGAAAUAAGGAUCUCUAUCUUGGGCAUUCAAGACAAACGCGCAAAAAAUUGAUGACAUCCUAUAAAAUUGCCAGAAAAAAGGUCCUUUCCAACUAAUGCAAAACCAGACUUCUUUCCCAGCAGAAAAACACUAGGCAAGUGAUUUUGGUCUUCCAUUCACAAAUAUCAGAGGCAUUUUCACGGUUACAGAUGUGCACACCACAAGCCAAGGACAGGCUGCGCCGGGAUGUCACACACAUUCUUGGAUGCAUUCGAGCUUUGCCGUCUGAUAAAAUGAGCGAAUCUAGUAUUCCAAAAUGGGGUCAGCUAGAUGAAUUCUUGGUGCAGAGAUUUGGCUCUGAAGCUGGUUAAUGUUGUUGUAAAGUAGUGAAUCGGUUGCUUCUUUGGAGAUGGCUAAUCAAAAUUUUUGGAUGUCAGAACCAAUUUCGGUGGUCUAUGCAUUUUCCUUGUACAAUUUCAUUGAAGUAACUUUCGGUCCAUAUUCUCUAUUUAUCGUGUCAUGUUCGUGCCGCAUAAAUUACUUUCGUCCAAACUUCAGUGCUCUCUCUUUCUAAACACUCAUGCACCGUCUAUUUUUUCUUUUAGCUUACCAGAAGUCUUUAAUUUUCAGGUUUUGCAUUUUUUCUGAGAUGUACAAAGUCAGUGUAUCAGAUCCAAAUAUUGCGAGAAGAAGGUUGUCGAAGCCAGAAUGUUUGUUCUGUUGCGGUCACGCUCGAAUUACCAUUUGUAUUUACUAGGACUCAAAUCAAUGUUUUUUUGUAAUUUUUGAGUUAAAGGAUGACGACGAUUGAUUUUUUAUUUUUUUUUGCUUAGUGAGGGGACAACGAGCAGUAUCGGCUUUUGAAUUCUCAACUUCCGUUGCCGGAAUCACAUCUGAUUGUAUCAAUACUUGAGUUAUUUGCAUGAAUGCCGUUCUUAAAUGGUAAAAGGAUAAGAGCUUGUUUUUCCUGUACC